CAGUCGCCGCGGGAAUACGAAGGGUGCAAGCGUUAAUCGGAAUUACUGGGCGUAAAGCGUGCGUAGGCGGUUUGUUAAGUCUGCUGUGAAAUCCCCGGGCUCAACCUGGGAAUGGCAGUGGAUACUGGCAAGCUAGAGUGUGUCAGAGGAUGGUGGAAUUCCCGGUGUAGCGGUGAAAUGCGUAGAGAUCGGGAGGGACAUCAGUGGCGAAGGCGGCCAUCUGGGACAACACUGACGCUGAGGCACGAAAGCGUGGGGAGCAAACAGGAUUAGAUACCCCGGUAGUCCCUGUCUCUUAUAC
This 301-nucleotide ribosomal RNA is filed under the name uncultured bacterium. RNAcentral describes it as "partial 16S ribosomal RNA". It matches the Rfam family "Bacterial small subunit ribosomal RNA", at positions 509 to 807 of the family's 1533-position model. The record is from RNAcentral.